This 251-nucleotide ribosomal RNA is filed under the name uncultured Gardnerella sp. RNAcentral's name for it is "partial 16S ribosomal RNA". It matches the Rfam family "Bacterial small subunit ribosomal RNA", at positions 100 to 354 of the family's 1533-position model. Lineage: Bacteria; Bacillati; Actinomycetota; Actinomycetes; Bifidobacteriales; Bifidobacteriaceae. The record is from RNAcentral.
GGGUAGAGUAAUGCGUGACCAACCUGCCCCAUGCUCCAGAAUAGCUCUUGGAAACGGGUGGUAAUGCUGGAUGCUCCAACUUGACGCAUGUCUUGUUGGGAAAGUGUUUAGUGGCAUGGGAUGGGGUCGCGUCCUAUCAGCUUGUAGGCGGGUAAUGGCCCACCUAGGCUUCGACGGGUAGCCGGCCUGAGAGGGCGGACGGCCACAUUGGGACUGAGAUACGGCCCAGACUCCUACGGGAGGCAGCAGAA